AUGUUAGCUUGCUAACAAGCGUCGAGUGGCGGACGGGUGAGUAACGCGUAGGAAUCUACCAAAUAGCGGGGGGUAGCCCGGAGAAAUCCGGAUUAAUACCGCAUAAUCUCUACGGAUUAAAAGGGGGGCCUCUAUUUAUAAGCUUUCACUAUUUUGAUGAGCCUGCGUAAGAUUAGCUUGUUGGUGAGGUAAAAAGCUCACCAAGGCGACGAUCUUUAGCUGGUCUGAGAGGAUGAUCAGCCACACUGGGGACUGAGACACGGCCCCAGACUCC
Molecule: ribosomal RNA, 274 nt
Filed under: uncultured bacterium
Lineage: Bacteria
Description: partial 16S ribosomal RNA
Rfam family: Bacterial small subunit ribosomal RNA
Source: RNAcentral